Molecule: long non-coding RNA, 751 nt
Organism: Scleropages formosus (Asian bonytongue)
Lineage: Eukaryota; Metazoa; Chordata; Actinopteri; Osteoglossiformes; Osteoglossidae
Exons: 4
Source: RefSeq, a predicted model, not a curated record
UAUGUCUAAACACAUGAGUCUGUUAGCCAAUCUGAAAACAAUGGUAGAGAAUAAAAAGGUGACAAGUUGAGGAGUGCUGUUACUGGACCAUUACACUCACCGCAUAGAGGUACUGAGGAUCAUGGUGCACUGUGCAGACCUCAGCAAUCCCACGAAGCCACUGGCCGUGUACCACCAGUGCACCGAACGUAUCAUGAAAAAAUUCUUCAGAUGGGGACAAGGAGCGCGAACGCGGCAUGGAGAUCAGUGCUAUGUGUGAUAGACACACCUCAUCUGUGGUGAAGAGUCAGGUUCUUCUCAUGUCUGAUCUUGGUGUGGUGUGGAACAGAACUUAACUUUUUGGGGACCCCAUAUUGUUUUGGACAUUAAUGGAGAUGACAUCCUAAGAGACCUGCAAAAAUCUACAACGGGCAUAUAUGUCGUCAACAAGGAGGGUGCAGAAACUGGACAUUAUGAUGAUAUUGGCGUUUGUUGAAGGAGCUGUCAUUCUGGAGAACACUGGAUCUGUACCCUGAGCUUCUGCAAUGAUGCUUGGAGUCAUCUAUGCACUGAACAUGGCUUACCCCAAACAUCUUAAGUAUUACUAUGAAUUUAUUCAAAAAGUGCUAUUUCGGAUGGAUAGUGAAAGGCGGUCCCCCAAAAUCCUUGGUUUAAAGAACAAAAUCAGUGCUGGACUGUAAGACUCUGUCAGCCGCACCCUGUAAAGCUGCAGUGGUAUUUAUGUUUUUUUGCUGGGGGGUGAGAGAGAACA